Molecule: small nuclear RNA, 108 nt
Organism: Nannospalax galili (Upper Galilee mountains blind mole rat)
Lineage: Eukaryota; Metazoa; Chordata; Mammalia; Rodentia; Spalacidae
Source: Ensembl
GUGUUCUCUUCAGCAGCACAUAUACUACAAUUGGAAUGACACAGAGAAGAUUAGCAUGGCCCCCUGCACGAGGAUGACAUGCAAAUUUGUGAAGUGUUCCAUAUUUUU